This 1035-nucleotide ribosomal RNA is filed under the name uncultured Prochlorococcus sp. RNAcentral's name for it is "bacterial SSU rRNA". It matches the Rfam family "Bacterial small subunit ribosomal RNA", at positions 97 to 1179 of the family's 1533-position model. The record is from RNAcentral. Lineage: Bacteria; Bacillati; Cyanobacteriota; Cyanophyceae; Synechococcales; Prochlorococcaceae.
GGCAGACGAGGUAGUAAUAAAUAGGUACUUACCCUUUAGUCAGGAAUACCUCAUCGAAAGAUGAGUUAAUACUUGAUAGUCUCGCAAGAGUAAAGAUUUAUCGCUAAAGGAAAGGCCUGUUCAGUAUCAGCUAGUUGGUAGGGUAAUGGCCUACCAAGGCUUAGACGCUUAGGGGACCUGAGAGGGUGACCCCCACCGAUGGAACUGAGAAACGGUCCAUACACCUACGGGUGGCCGCAGUCGAGAAUCUUCCGCAAUGGGCGAAAGCCUGACGGAGCGACGCCGCGUGAUUGAUGAAGUCCUUCGGGACGUAAAGAUCUUUUGCCAGGGAGAAAGUUUAUUGAUAGUACUUGGCGAAUAAGAGGUUGCUAAACUCGUGCCAGCAGCAGCGGUAAUACGAGUGCCUCAAGCGUUAUCCGGAAUCAUUGGGCGUAAAGGUUGUGUAGGUGGUUGUAUUAGUCUUCUGUUAAAUUCUUCGGCUUUACCGGGGGCAUGCAGGGGAAACGGUACAACUAGAGGAUGCGAGGGGUCUGCGGAACUCAUAGUGUAGCGGUGAAAUGCGUUGAUAUUAUGGGGAACACCAAAAGCGAAGGCAGCAGACUGGAGCACUCCUGACACUGAAACAAGAAAGCGUGGGUCGCGAAUGGGAUUAGAUACCCCAGUAGUCCACGCCCUAAACGAUCUUCUCUAGCUAUUCGGAGUAUCGACCCUCUGAGUGGCGUAGCUAACGCGUUAAGAGAAGCGCCUGGGUAGUACGACCGCAAGGUUAAAACUCAAAGGAAUAGACGGGGACUUGCACAAGCGGUGGAUCAUGUGGUUUAAUUCGAUGACAAACGAAGAACCUUACCAGGGUUUGAAACCUAGCUGAAUACUUUAGGAAACUAGAGUAGUCGCAAGACAGUUAGGCAGGUGAUGCAUGGCCGUCGUCAGUUCGUGGCUUGAGUUGUUCCCUUCAGUGGGGUAACGAACGCAACCCUCGUUGCCUGUUAUAUUUGUCAGGCGAGACUGCUCACGACAAAGCGCAGAUAUCGGUAA